UGCAUGUCUAAGUAUAAGCAAUUAUACCGCGAAACUGCGAAUGGCUCAUUAUAUAAGUUAUCGUUUAUUUGAUAGUACCUUACUACUUGGAUAACCGUGGUAAUUCUAGAGCUAAUACAUGCUAAAAAUCCCGACUUCGGAAGGGAUGUAUUUAUUAGAUUAAAAACCAAUGCCCUUCGGGGCUCACUGGUGAUUCAUGAUAACUCCUCGAAUCGCAUGGCCUUGUGCCGGCGAUGGUUCAUUCAAAUUUCUUCCCUAUCAACUUUCGAUGUUUGGGUAUUGGCCAAACAUGGUUGCAACGGGUAACGGAGGGUUAGGGCUCGACCCCGGAGAAGGAGCCUGAGAAACGGCUACUACAUCCAAGGAAGGCAGCAGGCGCGCAAAUUACCCAAUCCCGACACGGGGAGGUAGUGACAAUAAAUACUGAUACAGGGCUCUUUUGGGUCUUGUAAUUGGAAUGAGUACAAUUUAAAUCCCUUAACGAGGAACAAUUGGAGGGCAAGUCUGGUGCCAGCAGCCGCGGUAAUUCCAGCUCCAAUAGCGUAUAUUAAAGUUGUUGUGGUUAAAAAGCUCGUAGUUGAACCUUGGGCCUGGCUGGCCGGUCCGCCUCACCGCGUGUACUGGUCCGGCCGGGCCUUUCCCUCUGUGGAACCCCAUGCCCUUCACUGGGUGUGGCGGGGAAACAGGACUUUUACUGUGAAAAAAUUAGAGUGCUCCAGGCAGGCCUAUGCUCGAAUACAUUAGCAUGGAAUAAUAGAAUAGGACGUGUGGUUCUAUUUUGUUGGUUUCUAGGACCGCCGUAAUGAUUAAUAGGGACAGUCGGGGGCAUCAGUAUUCAAUUGUCAGAGGUGAAAUUCUUGGAUUUAUUGAAGACUAACUACUGCGAAAGCAUUUGCCAAGGAUGUUUUCAUUAAUCAGGAACGAAAGUUAGGGGAUCGAAGA
This 942-nucleotide ribosomal RNA is filed under the name Hypocreales sp. C8-1. RNAcentral's name for it is "SSU rRNA". It matches the Rfam family "Eukaryotic small subunit ribosomal RNA", at positions 52 to 1004 of the family's 1831-position model. The record is from RNAcentral. Lineage: Eukaryota; Fungi; Ascomycota; Sordariomycetes; Hypocreales.